RNAcentral lists this ribosomal RNA (481 nucleotides) under uncultured bacterium. Its description in RNAcentral is "bacterial SSU rRNA". It matches the Rfam family "Bacterial small subunit ribosomal RNA", at positions 32 to 524 of the family's 1533-position model. The record is from RNAcentral.
AAUCAACGCUGGCGGCGUGCCUCAGACAUGCAAGUCGAACGAUUAAAGCUCUCUUCGGAGAGUGCAUAGAGUGGCGCACGGGUGAGUAACACGUAAGUAAUCUACCUUCGAGUGGGGAAUAACGUCCGGAAACGGACGCUAAUACCGCAUAAUGCAGCGGCAUCGUAAGAUGACAGUUGUUAAGGAUUUAUCGCUUGAAGAGGAGCUUGCGGCAGAUUAGCUAGUUGGUAAGGUAGUGGCUUACCAAGGCUACGAUCUGUAACCGGUCUUAGAGGACGGUCGGUCACACUGACACUGAAUAACGGGUCAGACUCCUACGGGAGGCAGCAGUCGGGAAUUUUGGGCAAUGGGCGAAAGCCUGACCCAGCAACGCCGCGUGAAGGAUGAAGUAUUUCGGUAUGUAAACUUCGUAAGAAUAGGAAGAAUAAAUGACGGUACUAUUGUAAGGUCCGGCUAACUACGUGCCAGCAGCCGCGGUAAU